RNAcentral lists this ribosomal RNA (362 nucleotides) under uncultured bacterium. RNAcentral describes it as "bacterial SSU rRNA". It matches the Rfam family "Bacterial small subunit ribosomal RNA", at positions 32 to 371 of the family's 1533-position model. The record is from RNAcentral.
AAUCAACGCUGGCGGCGUGCCUCAGACAUGCAAGUCGAACGAGAAAGUCCCCUUCGGGGGAUGAGUAAAGUGGCGCACGGGUGAGUAACACGUAGGUAAUCUACCUUCGGGUGGGGAAUAACCCAGGGAAACUUGGGCUAACACCGCAGUAAUGCAGCGGCACCACAUGGUGACAGUUGUCAAAGCGGGGGAUUUUAGGACCUCGCGCCUGAAGAGGAGCCUGCGGCGGAUUAGCUUGNGGUAAGGUAACGGCUUACCAAGGCGACGAUCCGUAACCGGCCUGAGAGGGCGGUCGGGUCACACUGACACGUGACAUACGGGUCAGACUCCUACGGGAGGCAGCAGUCGGGAAUUUUGGGCAA